GUCUCUGUAGCUCAGAUGGAUAGAGCGUUCGCCUCCUAAGCGAAAGGCCGUGGGUUCGAAUCCCGCCAGGGACGCCA
RNAcentral lists this transfer RNA (77 nucleotides) under Allofournierella sp. RNAcentral's name for it is "Fournierella sp. tRNA-Arg". It matches the Rfam family "tRNA". From Rfam's summary of the family: Transfer RNA (tRNA) molecules are approximately 80 nucleotides in length. RNAcentral also lists the same sequence under 4 other names. The record is from RNAcentral. Lineage: Bacteria; Bacillati; Bacillota; Clostridia; Eubacteriales; Oscillospiraceae.